UAUGAACCGUUGGAGAUGCUCUA
This 23-nucleotide non-coding RNA is filed under the name Arabidopsis thaliana (thale cress). Lineage: Eukaryota; Viridiplantae; Streptophyta; Magnoliopsida; Brassicales; Brassicaceae. The record is from RNAcentral.